UGGGCGAUGGUAGGGGAAUAGAGAGGAUAACUAUGGUUUCUUUACUUCAAAGGGAUAUGUCUAUGUCUGGGACGAACCACGUGAUAAGAAUACACCACAAAGGAUGCUUAUCCAUAGGCCGAUAAACCCUACCGGUCCUGCUAACAAGAGGUGGACUAUAGGGGACCAACGUAACUAUCACCUACGCGGCCUACCACACGAUCCAGCUAGACAGGGGAUAUCCACAAGUAAUCUAGGUCUAAGCACCACGCUUACACCUAUACUACAACUCCAAUCUAUAGGGUC
Molecule: long non-coding RNA, 285 nt
Filed under: Sorghum bicolor (sorghum)
Lineage: Eukaryota; Viridiplantae; Streptophyta; Magnoliopsida; Poales; Poaceae
Description: long non-coding RNA (SBIC_LNC017585)
Source: RNAcentral